UUUGGUCAAUUUUUCCACUGUCAAUUUCUUCACCCAGAUGCAGAUCACCCCAACAACAUAAACAGUAGCAGGUCCAUCAGAUGAACGGUGCAGAUUUCGCACUACCCAGGCUCCUUCUCUAAUAAAGAAAUUCAAGAAAGAAAUAGAGAGAGACCACAUUCAAGUAAGAAAAAAAGAAGUAGCCGUUGGAGCCUCCACACUAUAAGAAGCAGUUCAAAACAUAUGAAAUGAAAUGCCAGACCUAAACAGACCUCUCUUUUUUGUUGGUGUUUUUGAAAAAAAAAAAUUCAAGAUUUUCAACGGCUAAAAUCUCUUUAGACAUUUCAGAUUGCAAUUCCUUGAAUCAGAUUCACUCUCUCAUCUCGUUUUCAAAAUUCAAAUUUAUUUUAGUUUUUCACUCCGCAAAAUCCUCCCAAAACCUCUCAAAUCUCUCUGAAAUUCGAAUCUUUCUUCGUAGAAAUAUUCAAUUCUCAGCGCCUCCUAUGCAAAUGGAAGCCAAUCAAAACAGAUUUCCAAAGAGAAAUGGCAAUGCCAAAGCUUACAAUUUCACAAACCACUCCAAUUCCUUCUCAAAUCAAAGCAUUUCUCGUAAUCAGGCCAGUCGGAAACUUGGUCUAACCAAAGACCGAAAUUCCACUACGAAGCGUCUUAAAACCUCCGAUCAUCAUUCAAGAAAAGACCAACGGUGGAUGAUCAUGACCGAGUCCUUGAUCAUCGCAUCGACGGAUCGACUGGGUCCAGACCCGGCUGAUCUUCCAAAGGAAGUUUCGGAGGUAAACCCAUAUGAAGCUCAUCAACCGUCCCAGAGGGAGAAAAUAGAUCGAAGGCAGGGGAUCAUCCCAUCUUAAAGAAGGCAUGAUGAAGGGUGGAUUGUCUAUGAUAUAUAUGACCUUGCUUUUUCUAAAAGGAGUAUCAGAUCAUAAAUAGAACGAGAUGUAUCAUACAUGUAGAAACAAAGGAAUGUAUAGGAUUUUGUUAUAGACGUU
Magnolia sinica is the source of this 986-nucleotide long non-coding RNA. RefSeq lists it as uncharacterized. The transcript has 2 exons. NCBI's taxonomy places the organism in Eukaryota, Viridiplantae, Streptophyta, Magnoliopsida, Magnoliales, Magnoliaceae. The record is from RefSeq and is a predicted model, not a curated record.